This 1654-nucleotide ribosomal RNA is filed under the name Salmonella enterica. Its description in RNAcentral is "partial 23S ribosomal RNA". It matches the Rfam family "Bacterial large subunit ribosomal RNA", at positions 1292 to 2925 of the family's 2925-position model. RNAcentral also lists the same sequence under 1 other name. The record is from RNAcentral. Lineage: Bacteria; Pseudomonadati; Pseudomonadota; Gammaproteobacteria; Enterobacterales; Enterobacteriaceae.
GAAUGCUGACAUAAGUAACGAUAAAGCGGGUGAAAAGCCCGCUCGCCGGAAGACCAAGGGUUCCUGUCCAACGUUAAUCGGGGCAGGGUGAGUCGACCCCUAAGGCGAGGCCGAAAGGCGUAGUCGAUGGGAAACGGGUUAAUAUUCCCGUACUUGGUGUUACUGCGAAGGGGGGACGGAGAAGGCUAUGUUGGCCGGGCGACGGUUGUCCCGGUUUAAGCGUGUAGGUGUGUGUUCCAGGUAAAUCCGGUUCACUUUAACACUGAGGCGUGACGACGAGGCACUACGGUGCUGAAGCAACAAAUGCCCUGCUUCCAGGAAAAGCCUCUAAGCAUCAGGUAACAUCAAAUCGUACCCCAAACCGACACAGGUGGUCAGGUAGAGAAUACCAAGGCGCUUGAGAGAACUCGGGUGAAGGAACUAGGCAAAAUGGUGCCGUAACUUCGGGAGAAGGCACGCUGACACGUAGGUGAAGUGAUUUACUCAUGGAGCUGAAGUCAGUCGAAGAUACCAGCUGGCUGCAACUGUUUAUUAAAAACACAGCACUGUGCAAACACGAAAGUGGACGUAUACGGUGUGACGCCUGCCCGGUGCCGGAAGGUUAAUUGAUGGGGUCAGCGCAAGCGAAGCUCCUGAUCGAAGCCCCGGUAAACGGCGGCCGUAACUAUAACGGUCCUAAGGUAGCGAAAUUCCUUGUCGGGUAAGUUCCGACCUGCACGAAUGGCGUAAUGAUGGCCAGGCUGUCUCCACCCGAGACUCAGUGAAAUUGAACUCGCUGUGAAGAUGCAGUGUACCCGCGGCAAGACGGAAAGACCCCGUGAACCUUUACUAUAGCUUGACACUGAACAUUGAGCCUUGAUGUGUAGGAUAGGUGGGAGGCUUUGAAGUGUGGACGCCAGUCUGCAUGGAGCCGACCUUGAAAUACCACCCUUUAAUGUUUGAUGUUCUAACGUGGACCCGUUACCCGGGUUGCGGACAGUGUCUGGUGGGUAGUUUGACUGGGGCGGUCUCCUCCUAAAGAGUAACGGAGGAGCACGAAGGUUGGCUAAUCCUGGUCGGACAUCAGGAGGUUAGUGCAAUGGCAUAAGCCAGCUUGACUGCGAGCGUGACGGCGCGAGCAGGUGCGAAAGCAGGUCAUAGUGAUCCGGUGGUUCUGAAUGGAAGGGCCAUCGCUCAACGGAUAAAAGGUACUCCGGGGAUAACAGGCUGAUACCGCCCAAGAGUUCAUAUCGACGGCGGUGUUUGGCACCUCGAUGUCGGCUCAUCACAUCCUGGGGCUGAAGUAGGUCCCAAGGGUAUGGCUGUUCGCCAUUUAAAGUGGUACGCGAGCUGGGUUUAGAACGUCGUGAGACAGUUCGGUCCCUAUCUGCCGUGGGCGCUGGAGAACUGAGGGGGGCUGCUCCUAGUACGAGAGGACCGGAGUGGACGCAUCACUGGUGUUCGGGUUGUCAUGCCAAUGGCACUGCCCGGUAGCUAAAUGCGGAAGAGAUAAGUGCUGAAAGCAUCUAAGCACGAAACUUGCCCCGAGAUGAGUUCUCCCUGAGACUUAAAGUCUCCUGAAGGAACGUUGAAGACGACGACGUUGAUAGGCCGGGUGUGUAAGCGCAGCGAUGCGUUGAGCUAACCGGUACUAAUGAACCGUGAGGCUUAACCU